GAUGAACGCUGGCGGCGUGCCUAAUACAUGCAAGUCGAGCGAACAGACGAGGAGCUUGCUCCUCUGAUGUUAGCGGCGGACGGGUGAGUAACACGUGGAUAACCUACCUAUAAGACUGGGAUAACUUCGGGAAACCGGAGCUAAUACCGGAUAACAUGUUGAACCGCAUGGUUCAACAGUGAAAGACGGUCUUGCUGUCACUUAUAGAUGGAUCCGCGCCGCAUUAGCUAGUUGGUAAGGUAACGGCUUACCAAGGCAACGAUGCGUAGCCGACCUGAGAGGGUGAUCGGCCACACUGGAACUGAGACACGGUCCAGACUCCUAAGGGAGGGAGCAGUAGGGAAUCUUCCGCAAUGGGCGAAAGCCUGACGGAGCAACGCCGCGUGAGUGAAGAAGGUCUUCGGAUCGUAAAACUCUGUUAUUAGGGAAGAACAAAUGUGUAAGUAACUAUGCACGUCUUGACGGUACCUAAUCAGAAAGCCACGGCUAACUACGUG
Molecule: ribosomal RNA, 497 nt
Filed under: uncultured bacterium
Lineage: Bacteria
Description: partial 16S ribosomal RNA
Rfam family: Bacterial small subunit ribosomal RNA
Source: RNAcentral